CUUGUGGAUGCUAAACUUGUCUCGUUGGAAUCUAUAAUCUAUAGCAUUGCACGGUUUGUUUGUCAAAAACUUGAAUCCUUUACUUACGCUCAAAUAUCCUUUUGUGCCUUAGGAGGAUUGACAAACCAAGAUUACUGGAUGCAGUGUAGAAGAUGCUGGUUCUUUGGGCACAGAAGAAACUCCCUCUGCUCUUGUCACAGCGCCGCAAUCACACAAAUUUGAUUGACGACGAUGAAGCAAUAGUCAUGGAGGAGGUAUGUGACUCCUGAAGAAAAAGGGGAUCUAUGGUCGAUUGCUGCUUCGCGACGAGGUGUGAUUCUCCUUGAAUAUGUGGGUGAGCCCAAAUUGUACGCGGGAGCUCUCCGGUCACCAUUGCUGCUGACUGCUGAGGAGGAUUCACAAACCAAGGCUACUGGAGAGUGUUGUGGACGCUGGUCUAGCGGGCACAAGAGAAACUCCCUCCUCUCUUGUCUCAGCAGUCACAAUCUUGCAAUUUCUUUUAUCAAUGGCGGUGAAGCAGAAGUGUCAGAGAUAGAGAGGGCCUUUUUACUUUGUUGUAAUUCGGGGAUAAUAAGAACUGUUUUGCAAGCAAAAUUUUCUUAUGAGAUGAGCCUUUUGUCUGAAUUGUGUUUGCGAAAAUUGUUUGUAUGUGUUGGUUAUGGGUAUGAAAUGGCAUGUGCUAGUUCCAUGUACUAGCUAUAUAUA
This is a long non-coding RNA of Triticum aestivum (bread wheat), 705 nucleotides long. RefSeq lists it as uncharacterized. Lineage: Eukaryota; Viridiplantae; Streptophyta; Magnoliopsida; Poales; Poaceae. The record is from RefSeq and is a predicted model, not a curated record. The transcript is spliced from 3 exons.